UGGAUUUUGAUAGAUCCUUUAGA
RNAcentral lists this transfer RNA (23 nucleotides) under Pristimantis gentryi. Its description in RNAcentral is "partial tRNA-Phe". Lineage: Eukaryota; Metazoa; Chordata; Amphibia; Anura; Strabomantidae. The record is from RNAcentral.